CAGCCGCCGCGGGAAUACGAAGGGUGCAAGCGUUACUCGGAAUUACUGGGCGUAAAGCGUGCGUAGGUGGUGGUUUAAGUCCGUUGUGAAAGCCCUGGGCUCAACCUGGGAAUUGCAGUGGAUACUGGGUCACUAGAGUGUGGUAGAGGAUAGUGGAAUUUCCGGUGUAGCAGUGAAAUGCGUAGAGAUCGGAAGGAACAUCUGUGGCGAAGGCGACUAUCUGGGCCAACACUGACACUGAGGCACGGAAGCGUGGGGAGCAAACAGGAUUAGAUACCCCUGUAGUCCCUGUCUCUUAUAC
Molecule: ribosomal RNA, 301 nt
Filed under: uncultured bacterium
Lineage: Bacteria
Description: partial 16S ribosomal RNA
Rfam family: Bacterial small subunit ribosomal RNA
Source: RNAcentral